GCUUGAUUAAACUUAUGCUUACCAAAUACAACUGUUUCAUUUGAAUAAUCAAUGUCCAAAUAAAUAACUAUUGAUUUCUGUGAAAUACAUGUAUUGCCACUAGUGAAAUUAAUGCUUUUAUAAUUUUUCUUUUUCCUUCAUACUGAUUUCAUCUCCCUAAUUUCAGUCAUAUCUAAACAUUCCAUUUUGUAAAACAUAAACCAUUAACCUUCCUUUCCUUAAUUUGUUUUUAUCUCAAACGUCUUAAAAGAGUAAUUUAUUCACUU
RNAcentral lists this long non-coding RNA (266 nucleotides) under Bos taurus (domestic cattle). RNAcentral describes it as "long non-coding RNA NONBTAT019325". The record is from RNAcentral. Lineage: Eukaryota; Metazoa; Chordata; Mammalia; Artiodactyla; Bovidae.